Molecule: long non-coding RNA, 656 nt
Filed under: Rhinopithecus bieti (black snub-nosed monkey)
Lineage: Eukaryota; Metazoa; Chordata; Mammalia; Primates; Cercopithecidae
Description: lncRNA (ENSRBIG00000046009.1)
Source: RNAcentral
CUUUAAUCUCGUAAUUCAUUGUUUCUCUGGUGCUGGUUACAGUAGCUAAGAGGGUGGAACGGCAGGCCAAUUUGUCACACAAACAAAUUUAAAUGUGGACCGCGGGGUUUGCCCACCUUAUGAUGAGUGGUUGACUUGUGGCCAAAAACACAAAACAAAAACAAAAACAAGAGGUGGGGUUGAUGAGGUCUGGGGAACAAGAGUUGCAGUUUCGAAACAGAGUGAAGGCUCCUUUAAUCUUGACAGCCAGAAUGCUACAGGGGUCACAGCACAUCUGCUCCGGAGGAAAGACAAAGGGCAAGAACAUCUCAGGAUGGGGCAAUAUUUGGUGAGAACAUAUUGGAUUCUACCAAAUUACAAAUAUGUUCCAGUGCUGGGCUGGAGAAGGCAGGGGCCUUGGCUCUUCCACGGUGGCUGUUCAUCAGCACUCACACAUCCACUACACUGGUUUAGUCGCACACUGGAAGGCUGCUUUCUCCUACUGCUUACAAAACAAACUAACAAAUAAACAACAACAACAAAAACAUAACAAAACAAAAAACCUCAAAACUAAACCAAAAACAACGAAUGCCAAACAAUACUCAAAGAACUAUCAAAUUAUUCCCUGGGCUCCUGAAUCAGAUGGAGCUGAAUCAUUCUGGCUGCUAACUGAGUGA